CUUUUCCUAUUGGCACAGCUGCAGGCAUUCACCCAUGCAAGCUUCCAGCUUGCUUAUCUAUGUCUCCAACUCAAUUUUACAGGCUGCUCUUUGUUAGAAAAGAAAUUAUUUUGGGGCUGCUUUUUGUUAAAAGGGAAGCCUUACUGAGGACUCUCUUACUCUCACUAAUCUUCUAAAUAAUGUCUUUUUAGCUCCUGUAUCAACAGGGUCUUGCUCUGUUGCCCAGGAUGUAGUGCAGUGGCACAAUUAUGACUCACCUCCUGGGCUCAAGGGAUCAUCUCACCUCAGCCUCCUCAGUAGCUGGAACCACAGAUGUGUGCCACCACACUUGACCAAGUUUUUAUUUUUUUUUUUAGAGACGGGGGUCUCACUAUGUUGCCCAAGCAGGUCUCGAACUCCUGGGUUCAAGCAGUCCUUCCACCUUAGCUUCCCAAAGUGCUGGGAUUACAGGCAUGGGCAACCACGCCCAGCUAGGGCAAGUGUUUAUUUAAUAGCCCAGGAAUUGGAAAAGCAGAAGGAUGGCUUUGAAACCAAUUUAUCAAUUAGUGAGGGGUGAUGGGGUUAAAAUAUAGGGUUUCUCUAAUGUAAGUGUUGGACAUGAAAAGGAAAGGGAGGAGUAUUCAUGUCUUUUCUGGAAAUGGGCAGAGAUUUCCUGGAAUCUGGAUGCUGCCCUUUUUCCUUCCUUUAAUGGUAAGGUAUUGCCUUUUAUGGCUGCCAGUAGGUGUGCCAGUUGUAUGGUAAUCAGGUUAUGAUGAAGUUAGAGGCUCUUCAGAGGUCAGAUGAGCUGCCAUCUUGGAUCUCCCCUGUUUCUGCUGGUCUGGUCAAGAGGGGGAACUUCUGACUACAGGUAUCCUGUUUGCUGGAGAUGAAGCAGGGUUAGGGUGUCACAGUGAUGUAGCCCAACCUUGCAGCCUUACAAGCACUAGAGAAGGUAACAUCACCAGUAAAGACUUAAAGUAUUUUCCUUAGUCUUUUCAUUUCUCUAAAUAUUUACUGAUUUUGUUGAAGAUGCUAUAAAGGCUGGAAUUCAAAGCCACCUCUUUGAGAACUACUCAUGCUGUGGGUAUCACCCGUGUAGAUAUGAAAUAUACAUGUUAAUACACUUCUGUUUAUUGUUCUCUUGUUAAUCUGUCUUUUUAAAGAUGGCUGUGUUUUAACUAAGAACCUAUGGGGGUGAGAAAAGAAAGUAACUUUUAUCAGAGGAAUGCAAGUCUAGAGAGACAUCACAAUGAGACAGCAGUCAUAUUCUGCUUCUCCCUUUGAGCUACGUAUUCAUCUCUCAAAACUGUUUGCUGUUGCCAUGAGUAGCUAUAAAUUAACUUAAUAAUGCCCUGUCUCACACCAUAACACCUACCUUUUAGCAUAACAAUGUAUAGCCAAUCAUUAAUUGAUGUUAUUUCUGUAAACAACUUUGUACCUUAUUUGUUUUGCCCUUGUUUUGGCUUUGAAAACCUGCUUUGAAAACCUGCUUGUAACAGAGGCCAAAUAUGAACAGAGGAGUUCAUAGCCAAGAUUACUUGGAUCUGAGUCUUUUGGGCAGCUGUCCUCACUUUGGCUCAAGUAAACUCUUUAAAUUA
This 1577-nucleotide long non-coding RNA is filed under the name Homo sapiens (human). RNAcentral's name for it is "non-protein coding lnc-RFX3-4:1". Lineage: Eukaryota; Metazoa; Chordata; Mammalia; Primates; Hominidae. The record is from RNAcentral.